AUUGAACGCUGGCGGCAUGCCUAACACAUGCAAGUCGAACGGCAGCACAGUGUGUAGCAAUACACAUGGGUGGCGAGUGGCGGACGGGUGAGGAAUACAUAGGAAUCUGCCUUGUAGCGGGGGAUAGUCCGGGGAAACUCGGGGUAAUACCGCAUACGACCUACGGGUGAAAGAGGGGGAUCGUAAGACCUCUCACUAUAAGAUGAGCCUAUGUCCGAUUAGCAGUUGGUGGGGUAAAGGCCUACCAAGGCGACGAUCGGUAGCUGGUCUGAGAGGACGACCAGCCACAUCGGAACUGAGACACGGUCCGAACUCCUACGGGAGCAGCAGUGGGAAUAUUGGACAAUGGGCGAAAGCCUGAUCCAGCAAUGCCGCGUGUGUGAAGAAGGCCUCGGUUGUAAC
This 402-nucleotide ribosomal RNA is filed under the name uncultured bacterium. RNAcentral describes it as "bacterial SSU rRNA". It matches the Rfam family "Bacterial small subunit ribosomal RNA", at positions 30 to 429 of the family's 1533-position model. The record is from RNAcentral.